UACGGAGGGUGCAAGCGUUAUCCGGAUUCACUGGGUUUAAAGGGUGCGUAGGAGGGCAGGUAAGUCAGUGGUGAAAUCCCCGAGCUUAACUUGGGAACUGCCGUUGAUACUAUCUGUCUUGAAUAUUGUGGAGGUAAGCGGAAUAUGUCAUGUAGCGGUGAAAUGCUUAGAUAUGACAUAGAACACCAAUUGCGAAGGCAGCUUGCUACACAAUCAUUGACUCUGAUGCACGAAAGCGUGGGGAUCAAACAGG
RNAcentral lists this ribosomal RNA (253 nucleotides) under uncultured bacterium. RNAcentral's name for it is "partial 16S ribosomal RNA". It matches the Rfam family "Bacterial small subunit ribosomal RNA", at positions 524 to 776 of the family's 1533-position model. The record is from RNAcentral.